RNAcentral lists this ribosomal RNA (390 nucleotides) under Skeletonema sp. Its description in RNAcentral is "partial small subunit ribosomal RNA". It matches the Rfam family "Eukaryotic small subunit ribosomal RNA", at positions 582 to 975 of the family's 1831-position model. The record is from RNAcentral. Lineage: Eukaryota; Bacillariophyta; Thalassiosirophyceae; Thalassiosirales; Thalassiosiraceae.
AUUCCAGCUCCAAUAGCGUAUAUUAAAGUUGUUGCAGUUAAAAAGCUCGUAGUUGGAUUUCUGUCCUUCUUUCCUUCCCCCCCCCUCUUUUUUUUCUUUGUGUCCUUCUGGCCAUCCUUGGUAAGAUCCUUUUUGGCAUUAAGUUGUCGGGAAGGGGAUGACCAUCGUUUACUGUGAAAAAAUUAGAGUGUUUAAAGCAGGCUUAUGCCGUUGAAUAUAUUAGCAUGGAAUAAUAAGAUAGGACUUUGAGUCUAUUUUGUUGGUUUGCGAGUCAAAGUAAUGAUUAAUAGGGACAGUUGGGGGUAUUCGUAUUUCAUUGUCAGAGGUGAAAUUCUUGGAUUUCUGAAAGACGAACUACUGCGAAAGCAUUUACCAAGGAUGUUUUCAUUA